Molecule: long non-coding RNA, 449 nt
Filed under: Physcomitrium patens
Lineage: Eukaryota; Viridiplantae; Streptophyta; Bryopsida; Funariales; Funariaceae
Description: long non-coding RNA (PPAT_LNC014848)
Source: RNAcentral
UUAGGAUUUGAUUUAGGAUUUGGAUUAAGGUUAGGAUUUUAUAAAGAUUUGAUUUAGGGUCUAGGAUUUGUUAGGAUUUAGUUUAGGAUUUAGGAUUUAGGAUUUGGUUUAGGAUUUGAUUUAGGGUUUAGAGUUUGGAUUAGGAUUUGGAUUAGGAUUUAGAUUAGGAUUUAGAAUUUGAUUUAGGAUUUGGUUAGGGAUUGGUUUAAGGUUUAGGAUUUGAUUAAGGUUUGAUUAAGAUUUGGUUUAGGAUUUAGGGUUGUCUAAGGUUUGAUUAAGGUUGGAUUAGGAUUAGGAAUUGGUCAAAAUUUAAGAUUUUAUUAGAUUUUUUUUAGGGUUUGACUAAGUUUUCUUUAAUAUUCUUUUAUAUUUCUUUAAGAUUUUCUUGUGUUUCUUUUAUAACUUCAAUGAAAUUUAAUUGAGCUUGCUUAAGGUUUGAUUAUGAGUGU